RNAcentral lists this ribosomal RNA (255 nucleotides) under Faecalibacterium prausnitzii. RNAcentral's name for it is "partial 23S ribosomal RNA". It matches the Rfam family "Bacterial large subunit ribosomal RNA", at positions 459 to 716 of the family's 2925-position model. The record is from RNAcentral. Lineage: Bacteria; Bacillati; Bacillota; Clostridia; Eubacteriales; Oscillospiraceae.
UCCAACCCUAAAUACUACCCAGUGACCGAUAGCGUAUAGUACUGUGAAGGAAAGGUGAAAAGCACCCCGGGAGGGGAGUGAAAAAGAACCUGAAACCCUGUGCCUACAAGCACCUAGAGCACGUCAAUGUGUGAUAGGGUACUUUUUGUAGAACGGUCCGGCGAGCGAUUGUAUGCAGCAAGGUUAAGGACUUAAGGUCUGGAGCCGAAGCGAAAGCGAGUUUGAAAAGGGCGUUAAGUUGCAUACAAUGGGCCC